CUAUAGCCUACGCCUUCUGCCGUGGCCCCAGGCACCCGGACUCGAGUCGUCUAAAAUUUUGCUCGGACAUCCAAUAUGGCCAAAGGAACCAUAGUCACCGCCCCGCCUUGACCAAAUUACAUUUUUUGGAUGUUUACGGCCAUAAAAUAUGAAAUCCGUGCGAGUCCCAAAUUUUCAUGUGCUAUAGCCCACGCCUUCUGCCGUGUCCCCGG
Molecule: long non-coding RNA, 212 nt
Filed under: Nicotiana benthamiana
Lineage: Eukaryota; Viridiplantae; Streptophyta; Magnoliopsida; Solanales; Solanaceae
Description: long non-coding RNA (NBEN_LNC000449)
Source: RNAcentral